GAUGAACGCUAGCGGCAGGCCUAAUACAUGCAAGUCGGACGGGAUUCAGGAGCUUGCUUCUGAUGAGAGUGGCGCACGGGUGCGUAACACGUAUGUAACCUACCUUUAUCAGGGGGAUAGCCUCUCGAAAGAGAGAUUAAGCCCGCAUAAAAUCACAGCACAGCAUUGUGUAAUGAUCAAAUAUUUAUAGGAUAAAGAUGGGCAUGCGGAACAUUAGCUAGAUGGCGGGGUAACGGCCCACCAUGGCGACGAUGUUUAGGGGAUCUGAGAGGAUGGCCCCCCACACUGGUACUGAGACACGGACCAGACUCCUACGGGAGGCAGCAGUAAGGAAUAUUGGUCAAUGGGCGGAGGCCUGAACCAGCCAUGCCGCGUGCAGGAAGACGGCCCUACGGGUUGUAAACUGCUUUUAUACGGGAAUAAACCCAGAUACGUGUAUCUGGCUGAAUGUACUGUAAGAAUAAGGAUCGGCUAACUCCGUG
This 482-nucleotide ribosomal RNA is filed under the name uncultured bacterium. Its description in RNAcentral is "partial 16S ribosomal RNA". It matches the Rfam family "Bacterial small subunit ribosomal RNA", at positions 28 to 507 of the family's 1533-position model. The record is from RNAcentral.